This 452-nucleotide ribosomal RNA is filed under the name uncultured bacterium. RNAcentral's name for it is "bacterial SSU rRNA". It matches the Rfam family "Bacterial small subunit ribosomal RNA", at positions 8 to 507 of the family's 1533-position model. The record is from RNAcentral.
AGAGUUUGAUCAUGGCUCAGAACGAACGCUGGCGGCAUGCCUAACACAUGCAAGUCGAACGAGACCUUCGGGUCUAGUGGCGCACGGGUGCGUAACGCGUGGGAAUCUGCCCUGGGGUGCGGAAUAACUCGGAGAAAUCCGUGCUAAUACCGCAUAAUGUCUUCGGACCAAAGAUUUAUCGCCCUGGGAUGAGCCCGCGUAGGAUUAGCGAGUUGGUGGGGUAAAGGCCUACCAAGGCGACGAUCCUUAGCUGGUCUGAGAGGAUGAUCAGCCACACUGGGACUGAGACACGGCCCAGACUCCUACGGGAGGCAGCAGUGGGAAUAUUGGACAAUGGGCGAAAGCCUGAUCCAGCAAUGCCGCGUGAGUGAUGAAGGCCCUAGGGUUGUAAAGCUCUUUUACCCGGGAUGAUAAUGACAGUACCGGGAGAAUAAGCUCCGGAUAACUCCGUG